RNAcentral lists this long non-coding RNA (532 nucleotides) under Mytilus galloprovincialis (Mediterranean mussel). Lineage: Eukaryota; Metazoa; Mollusca; Bivalvia; Mytilida; Mytilidae. The record is from RNAcentral.
CCUGUACCAAGUUAGAAAUAUGGCCAUUGUUGUAUUAUAGUUUGUUUCUGUGUGUGUGUAACAUUUUAACGUUGCGUCGUUUGUUUUCUCUUAUUUUUAGUGUAAAUUCACAUUGCGAUAAUACGUGUCACGGUACUUGUCUAUCUCAAAUGCAUGUAUCUAGUUUUGAUGUUAUAUUUGUUAUUUUCGUGGGAUUUUGACUGAUGCUCGGUCCGUUUCUGUGUGUGUUACAGUUAAGUUUUAUGCCGAUGUUCUCCUCUUAUAUUUAAUGCGUAUCCCUCGGGUUUAGUUUGUUACCCGAUUUUUUUUUAUCCAUUGAUUAAUGCGUUUUGAACAGCGGUAUACUUCUUUUGCCUUUAUUUAUCAGUGAUGUCUUUAAGUAGACGAAACGCGCGUCUGGCGUACUAAAUUAUAAUCCUUUUAUAACUACUGAUACUAAAUAUUGUAAAUCAUAUUAAAAUUUAUUAAUAGUGGGUACUUCAGAUUUGACGUCAUAUUAUAGAUAGUAAACAAUACAUCUACUCAACCAGUU